UGGGGAAUAUUGGACAAUGGACCAAGAGUCUGAUCCAGCAAUUCUGUGUGCACGAUGAAGUUUUUCGGAAUGUAAAGUGCUUUCAGUUGGGAAGAAAAAAAUGACGGUACCAACAGAAGAAGUGACGGCUAAAUACGUGCCAGCAGCCGCGGUAAUACGUAUGUCACAAGCGUUAUCCGGAUUUAUUGGGCGUAAAGCGCGUCUAGGUGGUUAUGUAAGUCUGAUGUGAAAAUGCAGGGCUCAACUCUGUAUUGCGUUGGAAACUGUAUAACUAGAGUACUGGAGAGGUAAGCGGAACUACAAGUGUAGAGGUGAAAUUCGUAGAUAUUUGUAGGAAUGCCGAUGGGGAAGCCAGCUUACUGGACAGAUACUGACGCUGAAGCGCGAAAGCGUGGGUAGCAAACAGGAUUAGAUACCCUGGUAGUCCACGCCGUAAACGAUGAUUACUAGGUGUUGGGGGUCGAACCUCAGCGCCCAAGCAAACGCGAUAAGUAAUCCGCCUGGGGAGUACGUACGCAAGUAUG
RNAcentral lists this ribosomal RNA (524 nucleotides) under uncultured bacterium. RNAcentral describes it as "bacterial SSU rRNA". It matches the Rfam family "Bacterial small subunit ribosomal RNA", at positions 355 to 896 of the family's 1533-position model. The record is from RNAcentral.